Molecule: ribosomal RNA, 300 nt
Filed under: Triticum aestivum (bread wheat)
Lineage: Eukaryota; Viridiplantae; Streptophyta; Magnoliopsida; Poales; Poaceae
Description: partial small subunit ribosomal RNA
Source: RNAcentral
GAUGGAGAAGCCGUUGGCGAAGUCAUAAGGCCCUCUACUUUUUAUUAUAAAUCUAGUAAUGGAAAAGAUGAAUUGUUUAGCGAAAGAAUAUUUUGACCCAUAGAAAGCGGGUUUUUCGCUUGUGGCAAUUCUCGAGCAAGUGAAGCUAAAAAAGAAGACAAAAUAUUUUGCCAAAAAUGCGGGGUAGAAUUUGUGGAUUCUCGUACACGAAGAUAUCAAAUGGGAUACAUCAAACUUGCAUAUCUCACGACUCAUGUAUGGUAUUUGAAAUGUCUUCCUAGUUGUAUUGUGAGUUGGUGA